UGUACGGGGGGCAUUAGGGUUCGAUUCCGGAGAGGGAGCCUGAGAAACGGCUACCACAUCUAAGGAAGGCAGCAGGCGCGCAAAUUACCCAAUCCUAAUACAGGGAGGUAGUGACAAGAAAUAACAAUACAGGACUUUUUGGUUUUGUAAUUGGAAUGAGUUAAGUAUAAACCCCUUUUACAAGUAUCAAUUGGAGGGCAAGUCUGAUGCCAGCAGCCGCGGUAAUUCCAGCUCCAAUAGCGUAUG
Molecule: ribosomal RNA, 246 nt
Filed under: Cryptosporidium hominis
Lineage: Eukaryota; Apicomplexa; Conoidasida; Eucoccidiorida; Cryptosporidiidae
Description: partial 18S ribosomal RNA
Rfam family: Eukaryotic small subunit ribosomal RNA
Source: RNAcentral